AUCGGUUUGAAAGUACAGACCCAUUUAUGAUAAGCAAGUUUAAAGCAGUUCACCAUUUAGUGUUAUCCACGAUACCCCUUCAUUGCGAAUUCCUUCUAAUUAGUUCCCAUAAGUACGUACAAAUUUAAAACAAACCUUAAUCUGCCUUAUGGCAACUCUAAAAUUUAAAGGAUUUCAAAUGUCUAAUACAAUGACUGGUUUAGUAAAAUGGUUUAACAAUGAUAAAGGCUUCGGUUUCAUUUCACCAAAAGAUGGCAGCAAAGACGUGUUCGUCCAUUAUUCUGCAAUCCAAGGUACUGAUUUCAAAAGCUUAGAUGAAGGCCAAGAAGUAUCUUUCACCAUCGAAGAUGGUGCUAAAGGCCCAGCAGCUGCUAACGUAGUUGCUCUGUAAGAGUUCACUGUUAUUUUGAUAAAUAAACUAUACUGUUUAUUUAAAUAAAUACAAAGAAUCUUAAAACCUCGCUUAUGCGGGGUUUUUUACG
Molecule: regulatory RNA element, 482 nt
Organism: Moellerella wisconsensis ATCC 35017
Lineage: Bacteria; Pseudomonadati; Pseudomonadota; Gammaproteobacteria; Enterobacterales; Morganellaceae
Rfam family: cspA thermoregulator
Source: Rfam